AUCCAACUUAUCUACGUGGGGGGUCAUUAGGCUCCAAGUAGAUCCGGAAAAUGUUGAUUCUCUCCUCUUCUUAUUGUGAUAUAAAAUGUUUUUUGUUUCAUUUCAUUUACAUUGGGAAAUAGAGAAACGAUCAUUGUGUUUUGUUAGUUUUAAAAACUUUUGAUAUAUUUGUAUUUUACAUUAUAAGCAGUCAACCGAUUGACAAACUAGAAUUAUUUGAAUUCCGUGUGUAAAGAGGUCGGGUUAAUUUCGAGUGUUAUCUGCAAUCUAGAUGUUUAUAAAUCAUUUCAGUCGUUGAUGUAAUAAUUAAAGGUCGACUGAACAUGAAUUAUAUUAUACAAUUUAAAGCGCAUUUCUGUUUAUGCACGCGAACCCGUCUAACGUUAUUGUUAUUCCGCAGUUAUAUAAAGUAGCAAAUUAUCGUUCCUGAAUAGGUGGCGCCGUCGUAGCCGAUCCUGUUCUUCAACUUCCGGUUUCUGCACUGUGCAACUAUUACAGUUGCAUUUUUAAUUAACGAUGCCAAGUACUUGUUGUUGUGUACCUGGAUGUCAUUUAAGAGGAGGACAUGCAUUUCCAAAUGACUUAAAAAGAAGGAAAAGUUGGAUCAACGCCAUGGCCCAUACGCAGAUUGGACGAGAACACGGUGAAAUCGUGGAGUCCAUCUCAAUCAGCUGUUGUUUGCAAGGCACAUUUUACUGAAAAAGACUACGUGCAGGAAACUAUUCAUGAGGGCAAACCCUCCAUACAGAGACUUAAGUCUACUGCCAUUCCCAGCCUAUUUUCCUGGAUCAAGCAAGAGACUGAAUCGUCCGCAAAAGUUUUGAUUGUAAAGUUGGUUUUCCUGAAGAAGUCAUUCAUACUGCAGACAGGAUUUAUGACUGUCCACCACCAACUGCCGAGCUAAUGUUGAGCUUCACAGAUGGAAUUACGCAAACACCAUCAAUGCCUAUAUUUUCAGCAGAGAAUUUUGAAAUGAAGACACGUGACACAGCCUUGCAUUUUUAUACCAGUUUAGAGUUGUAUACUAAAUUUUUAUUUGUUUUGACCACACUUGGUCCAGCAGCACAUUGUUUGAGAUACAUAUAUUUUCAAAUUGAUAGGAUGUCAUUUGAAAAUCAUUUUUUUUAUGACUUUGAUGAAAUUGAGGCAUUAUACAACCAACUUUGAACUGUCUAGAUUCUAGAUUGAAACUAGUGUUAAGAAUAUUGUGUAAACAUGGAUUGUUUUUAUGUCUAAACAGUGGCGUGAGGCUAACACUUGGCCAUUUAGUGGUUUAGUCAGGUAUUUUUCGCCAUCCAACUUCAAAUUAAAGUUUCCUACAACUUGGAUUAUUAUUGACAGCACAGAAUAUCCCGUGAUAAAACAUAAAGCUCCUAGAGCUCAGGCAACCUUUUCAUCAUAUAAAAACAGAAACACUGAAAAUACUUGUACAUGUAUGUUCGACACCUGGUGGUUUAGUCAACUACAAAAAUGUAUGUCUCUAAUGCAUAUGUUGGUUGUACCAGUGACUGUGAAAUAGUUGAAAGAUGUAGAAUACAUGUGUAGUUCAAUUAUGUGACCCAGGUGACAGUGUGAUGGCAGACAAAGGUUUAAAUGUGCAAGAUUUGUUUGCUCACUUUUUUCAAAAAAAGAAACAGAAUUAGCUCCAAAACUCUUAUACGGGAUAGAAAAGUCUCCAAUUAACACGUGCACAUAGAGCUAAUUAUUAGACUUGGCAAAACAUACAAAAUUCUAAUAAAUCCUAUGAAUAUAACUGAAACAAAACUUUCAUCUGAAAUAACAUUUAGUUGUUAUAUGUUGUGUAAUUUUAGAACUUGUAUUGUGCCAAAGGAUGCAUAAAUAAAAGUGA
Mytilus californianus (California mussel) is the source of this 1849-nucleotide long non-coding RNA. RefSeq lists it as uncharacterized. Lineage: Eukaryota; Metazoa; Mollusca; Bivalvia; Mytilida; Mytilidae. The record is from RefSeq and is a predicted model, not a curated record. The transcript has 2 exons.